GUGCCAGCCGCCGCGGUAAUACGGAGGGUGCGAGCGUUAUCCGGAUUUACUGGGUUUAAAGGGUGUGUAGGCGGGCUGGUAAGUCAGGGGUGAAAUCCCGGAGCUCAACUCCGGAACUGCCUUUGAUACUACUGGUCUUGAAUAUUGUUGAGGUGGGCGGAAUGUGUCAUGUAGCGGUGAAAUGCAUAGAUAUGACACAGAACACCGAUUGCGAAGGCAGCUCACUGGGCAAUGAUUGACGCUGAGGCACGAAAGCGUGGGGAUCAAACAGGAUUAGAAACCCUCGUAGUCC
This 292-nucleotide ribosomal RNA is filed under the name uncultured bacterium. RNAcentral's name for it is "partial 16S ribosomal RNA". It matches the Rfam family "Bacterial small subunit ribosomal RNA", at positions 505 to 796 of the family's 1533-position model. The record is from RNAcentral.